AUACGGAGGGUGCGAGCGUUAAUCGGAAUUACUGGGCGUAAAGCGUACGUAGGCGGUUUGCUAAGUCAGAUAUGAAAGCCCCGGGCUUAACCUGGGAACUGCAUUUGAUACUGGCAGACUAGAGUAUGAUAGAGGGGGGUAGAAUUCCUGGUGUAGCGGUGAAAUGCGUAGAUAUCAGGAGGAAUACCAGUGGCGAAGGCGGCCCCCAGGAUCAAUACUGACGCUGAGGUACGAAAGCGUGGGGAGCGAACAGGAUUAGAAACCCUAGUAGUCC
This 274-nucleotide ribosomal RNA is filed under the name uncultured bacterium. Its description in RNAcentral is "partial 16S ribosomal RNA". It matches the Rfam family "Bacterial small subunit ribosomal RNA", at positions 523 to 796 of the family's 1533-position model. The record is from RNAcentral.